GACGAACGCUGGCGGCGUGCUUAACACAUGCCAGUCGAACGGAAAGGCCCUGCUUUUGUGGGGUGCUCGAGUGGCGAACGGGUGAGUAACACGUGAGUAACCUGCCCUUGACUUUGGGAUAACUUCAGGAAACUGGGGCUAAUACCGGAUAGGAGCUCCUGCUGCAUGGUGGGGGUUGGAAAGUUUCGGCGGUUGGGGAUGGACUCGCGGCUUAUCAGCUUGUUGGUGGGGUAGUGGCUUACCAAGGCUUUGACGGGUAGCCGGCCUGAGAGGGUGACCGGCAAAAUUGGGACGGGGAUACGGCCCAGACCCCUACGGGAGGAAGCAGGGGGGAAUAGUGCACAAGGGGGGGAAGCCUGAGGCAGAAACGCCGGGUGGGGGAGGACGGCCUUCGGGUUGUAAACCGCUUUCGCCUGUGACGAAGGGUGAGUGACGGGAAUGGGGAAAGAAGCACCGGCUAACUACGU
This 467-nucleotide ribosomal RNA is filed under the name uncultured bacterium. Its description in RNAcentral is "partial 16S ribosomal RNA". It matches the Rfam family "Bacterial small subunit ribosomal RNA", at positions 28 to 506 of the family's 1533-position model. The record is from RNAcentral.